RNAcentral lists this ribosomal RNA (429 nucleotides) under Gemmatimonadota bacterium. RNAcentral describes it as "Gemmatimonadetes bacterium partial 16S ribosomal RNA". It matches the Rfam family "Bacterial small subunit ribosomal RNA", at positions 355 to 776 of the family's 1533-position model. The record is from RNAcentral. Lineage: Bacteria; Pseudomonadati; Gemmatimonadota.
UAGGGAAUCUUCGGCAAUGGACGAAAGUCUGACCGAGCAACGCAGCGUGAGUGAAGAAGGUUUUCGGAUCGUAAAACUCUGUUGUUAGAGAAGAACAAGGACGUUAGUAACUGAACGUCACCUGACGGUAUCUAACCAGAAAGCCACGGCUAACUACGUGCCAGCAGCCGCGGUAAUACGUAGGUGGCAAGCGUUGUCCGGAUUUAUUGGGCGUAAAGCGAGCGCAGGCGGUUUCUUAAGUCUGAUGUGAAAGCCCCCGGCUCAACCGGGGAGGGUCAUUGGAAACUGGGAGACUUGAGUGCAGAAGAGGAGAGUGGAAUUCCAUGUGUAGCGGUGAAAUGCGUAGAUAUAUGGAGGAACACCAGUAGCGAAGGCUGCUCUCUGGUCUGUAACUGACGCUGAGGCUCGAAAGCGUGGGGAGCAAACAGG